RNAcentral lists this long non-coding RNA (719 nucleotides) under Homo sapiens (human). RNAcentral's name for it is "HSALNT0322327". The record is from RNAcentral. Lineage: Eukaryota; Metazoa; Chordata; Mammalia; Primates; Hominidae.
AUUCAUCAGCGAGAGGGGACCUGAAAGCAGGUCGCCAUCUGUGAGGGUCAGCUUUUGGUCCAGUGACUCACUCACAGAAACUCCAAGACAGAUUAAACUAGCAAGAGUUGAAUAUCUGAAUUUCCAAAAUUAUGAGGCUACAAAAAGAAGCAUAGAUUAAAGUUAGGACCAAAUGCUGCUCAGAAAUUGUUUUAAUCUCAAAAGUAGUUGGCAAGUUUUCAGAGUUCAUUUUCAAGGCCUGGUGUAUGUGAAACAACUGAACAUUCAGAGCUAUUUCAUUUUCAAAGAUUCUCACAUCCAACAGAGAGAAGAAGGUCAUACGAAGACACGCAGAAUUUGGACUUAUGCGGUCACAAGUCAAGGAGUGCUUGGAGCUACCGGGAGAUGGAAGAGUCAAGGCAGGAUUUUCCCUGGAAGAUUUGGAAGGAACAUAUUUCUCCUGAAACCUUGAUUCUAGCCUUCACUAAUGACAGAGAAUAAAUUUCUGUUCUUUUAAGCCACUCAGUUUGUGGUACUUUGUCUUACAGAAACCCUGGGACACUAAUAAAUUUCCUAAGUGGUAUACAUAACAUCUUCUAACAUUAUGAUUCUAUGGAAUGCUUUGAUAAUCAGCUAAAAGUUAUCGGCUGUCUCCCAGGAAAGAUGCACAAACAUACAUAUUCAACAUUUUGUGUUCAAUUUUUCAAGUUUCCAGGAUUUCCAGGGCCUCUCUACAGAUC